AACGAUCAAAAGGACUUUUAUUUGGUUGUAAUGUGACUAAGGUAAGGGUGAGAUAAAUCCUAAGGGGGUACUAGGCUAAAAUUCAAAGAGACUUGAAAGAAACUGUGGGAGUUGAAUUUACAAAAGAUUUCAUUCACUUCAACAACUUUAUAGCAAUUGUUUUCUCUUCUCCUUUCUCUUUUUAUUAUUUUUUUCUUUUUUAAAAGGAGUAUGUAUUGACAUGUAUUGACAUCCUUCUAUUUUUUCAUUCAUUUUUUCUUUUUCUAUUUUCUUUUUUAUUUUUAUUUUCUUUUCUGCCAACUUCUAAAAUAUUACAAAUAUAAUUAUUCAACCUCACACAACUGCAAACAAGACUCUUUUAACCCUUUGAAUAAGGUGAUAACAUUAUUUUUCACUUCUAGGUUUGUAGUGAGUUUUAA
RNAcentral lists this long non-coding RNA (419 nucleotides) under Lathyrus oleraceus (garden pea). RNAcentral's name for it is "Pisum sativum (pea) long non-coding RNA (PSAT_LNC021488)". Lineage: Eukaryota; Viridiplantae; Streptophyta; Magnoliopsida; Fabales; Fabaceae. The record is from RNAcentral.